RNAcentral lists this long non-coding RNA (1111 nucleotides) under Panax ginseng (ginseng). Its description in RNAcentral is "long non-coding RNA (PGIN_LNC017561)". Lineage: Eukaryota; Viridiplantae; Streptophyta; Magnoliopsida; Apiales; Araliaceae. The record is from RNAcentral.
UGAGGUAAUAAUAGAAACUAAGCAAUUAAUACUUGCGACUUAUAUUAAGUGACAAAAACACUUCUCUAAAAGGACUCCGAAAAACAGAUUACAUGCCUUAUCAUGACAUUAAUAACAGUUUCCCAAAGGACCAUGUCAACAGUCUUUAUUCCUAGUGAAAAACUAUCCAUAACCAUCCUACUUUUCUGGAGAAUAGUAAAUAAGAAUUCUUGGUAGAUCACACUUGAAUAAUCGAUUCCGUUUUAUCCACCACAAUUUUUUUGUAUAUAACAGUAAAACUUGUGUUGCCGAGAGAUUUCCUCGUGCUUUUUGAAACGUUGAUUCACCAUGAGAACUCUUUAUACAGGUACAAUUAAGUAGGCAUUACAGUACAAAAUGAAGAAAGCAAAAUGUCAUGUUACACUACCAUUGAAUGUUCACAUUAUUGGAACCUCUUUAACAAAUACAAAGAUUAUGCACAACAGGAAGAUGAAGAUGAAAAGUUCAGUACCCCCAUGCUGUGGAUCGGUAUCUAUAUCGCUGCAGCAUCUCUAGUCUGCUCCCUUGCAACCGCGGCUGAUGUAAUCCGGGGUGUUUUACAAAGAAAAUUCUGGUUCCCAUGUAAAUAUUUCACUCUCAAUGCUUUUUCUUUGACACUGUUAGCAGUAGCAAUGAAGUUUCCAUUGGAUAUAAACACUUCAAUGCCAAGCGAACCGGAUCAGCUUGUGAAGCUUAGCAGCUCAGCUUUUUUGUGUAUCGUAAUGGGUAAUUUUAUGCCUUCUCUAGGUGCCAUCCAUAACAGGGGAAUUCUCUCCAAUGUAACGGCCUUGGGAAUUCUGGUAAUCACCCUUGUUGUGAAUAUCUGCAUUGAACUGAAUACCGGUGUAAUUUACUCUUCUUUACGGAUAGAAUAUAUUUUGGUUUCCCUUUUCAUGAUUGUUUUGUUGGUGAUUCUAUGUUUCUCAGCUUUGGCAGUUCCAAGUACCAAAAAGUAUAUAGAGUGGAAGUAUGGUGAAAUGCACAAAAUAGCAUUAAGUGAUCAAGAAGUACCUGAGGAAGAAGCUGGGGGAAGGACUAGAGUUGAGAAACUAUUUGGAGAUGUCAGAAAGUAUUGGAUGAUGGCGGAAACGGG